UCUGGUGGCCAUACCGAGGAGGUCACACCCGGUCCCAUUUCGAACCCGGAAGUUAAGCUCCUCAGGGCCGAUGGUACUCAAGGUUUUAACCUUAGGGAGAGUAGGACGCUGCCAGAU
This 117-nucleotide ribosomal RNA is filed under the name Deltaproteobacteria bacterium. The record is from RNAcentral. Lineage: Bacteria; Pseudomonadati; Myxococcota; Myxococcia.